CGAGAUCACUUUUGCUGUAGACCAGAACAAGGGUUUUCAGUAACACUGGAUGUGGUUCAAUUUUAGCAUCGUAUAUAUCUCUAGCAAGAUCGUGCAUCUUCUCGAUCUGCUUCCCAUUAGCGUACGCAUGAAGCAAGGAGCUAUAGGUCAUCUGAUUAGGCUUACACCUCCCAUUCAUCAUCUCAGCAAAUACCUUCUCUGACUGCUCCCACAGUCCCCCUCGUGCCAACGCUGCCAAAACAGCGUUGUAAGUGGAUAAAUCAGGAGUGACCCCCGCCUUCAACAUGAGCUUAUAUAUAGCCAUUGCCUGGUCGAAAGCUCCACACCUACUGUAAGCACUGAUCAACGUGUUAAAUGUGUCCCUCUCAGCCACAAAGCCCGAUCUCUUCAUCUCCUUGAACACCCCUGACACCUCCGUGUUCAUCCCGUUCUGCCCAAACACAGCCAAAAGAGUGUUCCAAGUAACAACAUCCGCCCUGCAUCCAGAAGCCUUCAUAUCAUCAAAAAUCUUCAUCAUCUCCGUAAACUUCCCACGAUUCCCAAACAUCUUGAUCAGAGCAUUGAAAGUGCAGAUAUUCGAACUGCAACCCACACCUUGCAUCUCCUCAAACACCUUCAUCGCAGAAUCAUCCUUCCCAGCCUUCUCAAAGCCUGACAACAACGUAGUAUAAGUGAACACAUCCGGCUUUAUCCCCUUCUCCAUCAUCUUAUCUUUCAGCUCCAUCGCCUCCUCCAACAAACCAUCCCUUGCACAAGCAGAUAUCAAUGAAUUGUAAGUCACAAUGCUCGGGGAGAAAUCAUUAACCUCCAUCUCUCUCAAAACCUUCAUGGCCUCCUCAGGUCUCCUGACUUUCCAUAAACAUCCAGCAGCGCGUUGUAGGUGACAUUAUCCGGUACAUACCCCGCCAUUUUCAUCUCCUCAAACAUGGCUUUAGCUUCCUCAUACAAAGACCCCCUCCGGCAACAACUUAUCACGGUGUUAUACGUGUAAGCAUCAGGAACAACACCCGAGCUCUUCAUACCAUCAAAAACCGCCAUGAUUUUAUGCCAAGGCAUCCCCAUUUUACCAUAAACAUUCAAAAUCACAUUAUAAGUUAUCAAAGUAGGCUUGCAACCCUCCUCCUCCAUCUUCUUGAACACCAUUACAGCUUCCCUAUAUCUCCCAUUUCGCACGAAAACAGUUAUCAACGAAGUGUAAGCAUACACAUCAAUCCCAUAUCCAUCUUUCUGCAAAUUAUGCAGCAAAGAGGCUGCAGCAGAAAUCCGACCAUCCUUCCCCAACAUACUAAUUACCACCGCCACAACAGACCCAUUAAUCAGUUUGUGAGAAUCCGUACGGCUCUUUAUCCAUUCGAAAACACUCAGAGCCAAGUCGCAUUUUUUAUGAUACCCUAAACCCUUAAUUAUGCCCAAUAAAUCAGAGAAAACAGCAUCUACAUAAUCCCCUGAAAGUUGAGAUUCUUCAAUUCUGUACCUAAGCAAAGCAGAUAGCUCUUGGUCGAGCUUGUCGGCAUCGAAUUGAGGAUGAAGGAGGGAGAGGAGAGUGCGCUCACCUAGAGAAGAGAGGCGGCGGUUGAGCCAGGGCUUGCCCUUGUGGGGUCACGGUGUUUGCCGAUACGACGCCGUGGUUGCUGGAGGGAGGAGGUGGUGGCGGGGUUUUGUUGGGGUGAGGAAAUCGUGGAGGAGAGGGGAUAAAUUGGGCGGGGGGAGAGGGAGGUCCGGCGGCGGAANCAAACUUAGGCGUGAUGCCACUCUCCUUCAUCAAGUCUAGAUCUCGUUUGCCUUGUCGAGCAUCUGCCUCCGGCCAUAUAUUGAAACCAUUGCAUCAGAGUAGGCACGUCGGGGAGAAGCCUUUCCUUCUUAGCUCAAGGAAGGCUUGCUCUGUUUCAUCUACGAGAUCACUUUUGCUGUAGACCAGAACAAGGGUUUUCAGUAACACUGGAUGUGGUUCAAUUUUAGCAUCGUAUAUAUCUCUAGCAAGAUCGUGCAUCUUCUCGAUCUGCUUCCCAUUAGCGUACGCAUGAAGCAAGGAGCUAUAGGUCAUCUGAUUAGGCUUACACCUCCCAUUCAUCAUCUCAGCAAAUACCUUCUCUGACUGCUCCCACAGUCCCCCUCGUGCCAACGCUGCCAAAACAGCGUUGUAAGUGGAUAAAUCAGGAGUGACCCCCGCCUUCAACAUGAG
This 2182-nucleotide long non-coding RNA is filed under the name Salvia miltiorrhiza (redroot sage). RNAcentral's name for it is "long non-coding RNA (SMIL_LNC008164)". The record is from RNAcentral. Lineage: Eukaryota; Viridiplantae; Streptophyta; Magnoliopsida; Lamiales; Lamiaceae.